RNAcentral lists this ribosomal RNA (445 nucleotides) under uncultured bacterium. RNAcentral's name for it is "bacterial SSU rRNA". It matches the Rfam family "Bacterial small subunit ribosomal RNA", at positions 354 to 796 of the family's 1533-position model. The record is from RNAcentral.
GUAAGGAAUAUUGGUCAAUGGACGAAAGUCUGAACCAGCCAUGCCGCGUGAAGGAUGAAGGCCCUCUGGGUUGUAAACUUCUUUUAUCUGGGACGAAAAAAGGGUAUUCUUACUCACUUGACGGUACCAGAGGAAUAAGCACCGGCUAACUCCGUGCCAGCAGCCGCGGUAAUACGGAGGGUGCAAGCGUUAUCCGGAUUCACUGGGUUUAAAGGGUGCGUAGGUGGGUAUUUAAGUCAGUGGUGAAAUCUCCGAGCUUAACUCGGAAACUGCCAUUGAUACUAUUUACCUUGAAUGCCCUGGAGGUAAGCGGAAUAUGUCAUGUAGCGGUGAAAUGCUUAGAUAUGACAUAGAACACCAAUUGCGAAGGCAGCUUACUACGGGGUGAUUGACACUGAGGCACGAAAGCGUGGGGAGCAAACAGGAUUAGAAACCCUGGUAGUCC